RNAcentral lists this ribosomal RNA (492 nucleotides) under uncultured bacterium. RNAcentral describes it as "partial 16S ribosomal RNA". It matches the Rfam family "Bacterial small subunit ribosomal RNA", at positions 28 to 507 of the family's 1533-position model. The record is from RNAcentral.
GAUGAACGCUAGCUACAGGCUUAACACAUGCAAGUCGAGGGGAAACGACAUCGAAAGCUUGCUUUUGAUGGGCGUCGACCGGCGCACGGGUGAGUAACGCGUAUCCAACCUGCCCAUCACUUGGGAAUAACCUUGCGAAAGUAAGACUAAUACCCAAUGAUAUCCCACGAAGGCAUCGGAAUGGGAUUAAAGAUUUAUCGGUGAUGGAUGGGGAUGCGUCUGAUUAGCUUGUUGGCGGGGUAACGGCCCACCAAGGCAACGAUCAGUAGGGGUUCUGAGAGGAAGGUCCCCAACAGUGGAACUGAGACACGGUCCAAACUCCUACGGGAGGCAGCAGUGAGGAAUAUUGGUCAAUGGGCGAGAGCCUGAACCAGCCAAGUAGCGUGCAGGAAGACGGCCAUAUGGGUUGUAAACUGCUUUUAUAAGGGAAUAAAGUGGGUCACGUGUGACUUUUUGCAUGUACCUUAUGAAUAAGGACCGGCUAAUUCCGUG